AGUUACUUGGCUGAUAGGAAAGCAUGUGUUUUGAAAGCUCACUAUAGAGGUUCGAAUCCUCUAGUAACUU
RNAcentral lists this transfer RNA (70 nucleotides) under Penaeus chinensis. RNAcentral describes it as "tRNA-Ser". It matches the Rfam family "tRNA". Rfam says of the family: Transfer RNA (tRNA) molecules are approximately 80 nucleotides in length. Their secondary structure includes four short double-helical elements and three loops (D, anti-codon, and T loops). The record is from RNAcentral. Lineage: Eukaryota; Metazoa; Arthropoda; Malacostraca; Decapoda; Penaeidae.